Non-coding RNA from Triplophysa rosa, 67 nucleotides. Lineage: Eukaryota; Metazoa; Chordata; Actinopteri; Cypriniformes; Nemacheilidae. The record is from the annotation of a RefSeq genome assembly.
GCCCGGCUAGCUCAGUCGGUAGAGCAUGAUACUCUCAAUGUCAUGGGUUCGAGCCCCACGUUGGGCG